AUGGGAUCUAUCGACUUUAAUUGAGAGGAGUAGUCCUAUGAGAUUUAAGAAACUGAGUUCAUAAGUCUAUGACCAUAGCAGUGUGAUUAAUGAAAAGGAGUUUCUAUUAGGAAUUACUAUUGAACUUGAGCUGAUCAUAUCUAUCAUAUGACUGAUGAUGAGUUUGACGAUUUAUCCAUGACCUGCCAUCUAGUUGGAACUCACGAUAAAAUGACUGUAUUAUACAUUAACUACAUCUAAAGGUUCUAUUUUGAUUCUACUAGAUUGUCACUACAUAUUGCUAGAUAUCACUGGUGGAUUGUGAGAGCUCAAUAG
This 315-nucleotide long non-coding RNA is filed under the name Elaeis guineensis (African oil palm). RNAcentral describes it as "long non-coding RNA (EGUI_LNC050056)". Lineage: Eukaryota; Viridiplantae; Streptophyta; Magnoliopsida; Arecales; Arecaceae. The record is from RNAcentral.